RNAcentral lists this small RNA (195 nucleotides) under Mytilus galloprovincialis (Mediterranean mussel). Lineage: Eukaryota; Metazoa; Mollusca; Bivalvia; Mytilida; Mytilidae. The record is from RNAcentral.
UCGAACAUGUUUCUGUUAGCGCUUUCACCGCAUCUCAGCGGUUCAUCAGUUGAUGAACCGCUGGAGAUGCGGUGAAAGCGCUAACAGAAACAAUGUUCGAUUUAUGAUGUGAUUUUUUGUGUUUUUUACUUUUAAAUUAUAUAACUGAUGAACCGCUGGAGAUGCGGUGAAAGCGCUAACAGAAACAAUGUUCGA